This 253-nucleotide ribosomal RNA is filed under the name uncultured bacterium. Its description in RNAcentral is "partial 16S ribosomal RNA". It matches the Rfam family "Bacterial small subunit ribosomal RNA", at positions 524 to 776 of the family's 1533-position model. The record is from RNAcentral.
UACAGAGGGGGCAAGCGUUAUUCGGAAUUAUUGGGCGUAAAGGGCGCGUAGGCGGCGAUUCAAGUGACGGGUGAAAUCCCUCGGCUUAACCGAGGAACUGCCUGUCAGACUGGGUUGCUUGAGACCGGGAGAGGCGAGUGGAAUUCCCAGUGUAGCGGUGAAAUGCGUAGAUAUUGGGAGGAACACCCAAGGGGAAGCCAGCUGGCUGGGCAUUUGCUGACGCUCAUGUGCGACAGCGUGGGGAGCGAACUGG